RNAcentral lists this long non-coding RNA (461 nucleotides) under Equus caballus (horse). RNAcentral describes it as "lncRNA (ENSECAG00000055446.1)". Lineage: Eukaryota; Metazoa; Chordata; Mammalia; Perissodactyla; Equidae. The record is from RNAcentral.
GUGAGUAUUAUUUUAUUGGAAAUAUUGUUAUUUGAAUAAGUUCAAUAAGAAUCUGUUACUCUUGUAGCAGGACACAAUUGGAAAAUGGUUGUAUUACCAAGGUUUUGACUGGAGUGUUAUAUUUGAGAGAGAAUGUGCAUAGACUCAGAUAUGACCAGACAGCUUUGAAGAACCAAAUUUGACUUUGUGGAGCCAAUAAAGAUCCUUGGAAAUAUUGACCUGACACCUUGUUUAUAGGGUUCCCAGCAGUCUUACCGGGUGAGUAAUGAAAGUCACUUCUUGGCAGGUGCAGGAACCUCAGGAUAUUUUGGGAACCUCAAGAAGAGAGGCAUUCACCCAAAUCUACAGGUAUUGCAGAAAUCCACCAUCUUGCGGCAACCCAGGCAUGUCAGGGAAUGCCAGAUCGAGUUCAAGUCCGGAAGACACAGUAGGCUGCCCGGGGAGGAAUAACGAAGACUUCA